This is a long non-coding RNA of Asparagus officinalis (garden asparagus), 1464 nucleotides long. RefSeq lists it as uncharacterized. NCBI's taxonomy places the organism in Eukaryota, Viridiplantae, Streptophyta, Magnoliopsida, Asparagales, Asparagaceae. The record is from RefSeq and is a predicted model, not a curated record. The transcript has 4 exons.
AUGUCCAAAAAAAAAAAGAUGACCUCCUUCUCCUUUUAUUAUCCUCUUAUACCCAUUGAAACCUCCAAUGGAGUUAGGCAGUGAAAGGAAAACUUAAGCCCGAAUCUCCUCUUCAUCUCUCACUUCGUCUCGACACUCGGCAGAAAUGAGAAACAAAAAUUGGGAUUUUGAAGGAUUAUUGUCAAAGCUCGGUUUUUACCUUGUCUAAGUUGAGAAUUGGAAGAGAUGUUGAUGGUCGUGGUGGUGGUGAUGAUAAAGAAGAUGGAUGGAGAGUCUAACUGAAUUUUUACUAAAUAUAACUUGGGAAGCUGAUCAAGCUUCGCUCAAUUUGAGAUAAAUAUGAACCACUUGGAGAUUGAAGAUCAUAGAUUGGAGAUCGAUGAUUUGAAGAUUUGCUUGUGGUAACAACAUUAAAUAUGCUCAAGAUAUGUGAACAAAGUGCAUGAUGAGUUCAAGGCCACAAGAAGCAAAGAAGAAUAUGUGAUCAAAUAGUAAAGUUGUGUUUUUACAUUUUCUGUACUUAGAUUUUUGUACAAGCCUUGAUCACUCACAACACAUAUACACACAUAGUAUUUAGAUUAUUUGUACAAGCCUUGAUCAUUCACAACACAUAUACACACAUAGUAUUUAAAACACACUAACAUAUGCUUAGUGUGUGGUUAACUAUAGAAAUCCUCUAAGUUAACCAUUAGAGUUUAUAAAAAAAGGAUGAGUCUCAAAAUACAUCAUAUAUCUCAUAUUUACCUCUUAGUAGUCGAUUAAAACACUUAGUAGUCGACUAAUCAAGCUUUGGUCAAAAUAUCAGAAUCUGUGAUUUUACAGUGUAGCCGACUACUAGGCAUUAUAGUCGACUACUCAAUGUUAGUCUAGAAUUUUAGAAACUACACAUAUACAGUGUAGUCGACUACUCCUCUUAGUAGUCGACUACUAAGUAGUUUUCUGACUUCACAAAGUCAGUUUAGACUCAGUGUAGUCGACUAAUCCUCCUUAUAGUCGACUACAGAUACAGUUUUCUAGUUUUUUAGAAUUUGAAUAAAUAACUGUUUUAUAGCCGUUUUUGGACGCUAAUUGGGUUUCAAAACAUGUCAUUUCAGAGGCUAUAAACAAGUUUAAACAUCAGAAAACAAGAACAUUGAUUCAUAUCCAUAAGAUUCAACUUUUGUAAAAAUUCAAGUGUUCUUCAUUCAAAAUUUUAGUCUAACUAUUGAGUAAAGAAAAGUUCUGAAAGUUUCUUUGUUUCCAUCAUUUUAAAAGAUUAUUUAGGCAUAAAUCAAAGAGUGAAAAAGUUCCCAAACCACUGCUGCACAUCACCAACACUUCAAGGCUUAUAGGAAUUUGUGUUCUUUCUACAAAGAAGGUUUCUUCGGGUGUGAGAGAAGAUCUCUUGAUUAGAGAUUGUUGCAAUUUGCAGGGACUUACAAAUUGGUCAGAUUCUACAUCAUUUUCUAUAAGAUUCAACCUUGA